RNAcentral lists this ribosomal RNA (213 nucleotides) under uncultured bacterium. RNAcentral describes it as "partial 16S ribosomal RNA". It matches the Rfam family "Bacterial small subunit ribosomal RNA", at positions 524 to 735 of the family's 1533-position model. The record is from RNAcentral.
UACGUAGGGUGCGAGCGUUUAAUCGGAAUUACUGGGCGUAAAGUGUGCGCAGGCGGCCGAGCAAGUCGAGUGUGAAAGCCCCGGGCUUAACUUGGGAAUUGCGCUCGAAACUACUUGGCUGGAGUGUGGCAGAGGAAGGUGGAAUUCACGUGUAGCGGUGAAAUGACGUAGAGAUGUGGAGGAACACCGAUGGCGAAGGCAGCCUUCUGGGCC